Molecule: non-coding RNA, 24 nt
Filed under: Mus musculus (house mouse)
Lineage: Eukaryota; Metazoa; Chordata; Mammalia; Rodentia; Muridae
Source: RNAcentral
UGCAGAUUUGCCAGCAUCUGGGUC